GCCGUAGGGAAACCGAGUCUUAAUAGGGCGUCUAGUUGCAGGGUAUAGACCCGAAACCGAGUGAUCUAUCCAUGAGCAGGUUGAAAGUGACGUAACAGUUACCGGAGGACCGAACCCACUGUCGUUGAAAAGCCAGGGGAUGACUUGUGGAUAGGGGUGAAAGGCUAAUCAAACUCGGUGAUAGCUGGUUCUCCCCGAAAGCUAUUUAGGUAGCGCCUCGGACGAACACCAUUGGGGGUAGAGCACUGUUUCGGCUAGGGGGUCAUCCCGACUUACCAAACCGAUGCAAACUCCGAAUACCGAUGAGUGAUAUCCGGGAGACAGACGGCGGGUGCUAACGUCCGUCGUCAAGAGGGAAACAACCCAGACCGCCAGCUAAGGCCCCAAAUUCCUAGUUAAGUGGGAAACGAUGUGGGAAGGCACAGACA
This 428-nucleotide ribosomal RNA is filed under the name Salmonella enterica subsp. enterica. Its description in RNAcentral is "partial 23S ribosomal RNA". It matches the Rfam family "Bacterial large subunit ribosomal RNA", at positions 665 to 1091 of the family's 2925-position model. The record is from RNAcentral. Lineage: Bacteria; Pseudomonadati; Pseudomonadota; Gammaproteobacteria; Enterobacterales; Enterobacteriaceae.